GAUGAACGCUGGCGGCGUGCCUAAUACAUGCAAGUCGAGCGAACGGACGAGAAGCUUGCUUCUCUGAUGUUAGCGGCGGACGGGUGAGUAACACGUGGAUAACCUACCUAUAAGACUGGGAUAACUUCGGGAAACCGGAGCUAAUACCGGAUGAUAUCUUGAACCGCAUGGUUCAAAAGUGAAAGACGGUCUUGCUGUCACUUAUAGAUGGAUCCGCGCUGCAUUAGCUAGUUGGUAAGGUAACGGCUUACCAAGGCAACGAUGCAUAGCCGACCUGAGAGGGUGAUCGGCCACACUGGAACUGAGACACGGUCCAGACUCCUACGGGAGGCAGCAGUAGGGAAUCUUCCGCAAUGGGCGAAAGCCUGACGGAGCAACGCCGCGUGAGUGAUGAAGGUCUUCGGAUCGUAAAACUCUGUUAUUAGGGAAGAACAUAUGUGUAAGUAACUGUGCACAUAUUGACGGUACCUAAUCAGAAAGCCACGGCUAACUACGUG
Molecule: ribosomal RNA, 497 nt
Filed under: uncultured bacterium
Lineage: Bacteria
Description: partial 16S ribosomal RNA
Rfam family: Bacterial small subunit ribosomal RNA
Source: RNAcentral